AACAUCGCGCACCUGCGGGAACCUGCGGAAGGAUCAUUACCGAGGCUGCCUCUAUGGCGGUUUCCCACCUGUGUCAUUUUUACCUGUUGCUUCGGCGGUUGCUUGUCAGUCGCCGAAGGAUUUUAAUCUUGAUGUUUGAUGUCCGAGUUCUACUGAAUAGUUAAAACUUUCAGCAACGGAUCU
RNAcentral lists this unclassified non-coding RNA (183 nucleotides) under soil metagenome. Its description in RNAcentral is "partial contains 5.8S ribosomal RNA, internal transcribed spacer 2, and large subunit ribosomal RNA". The record is from RNAcentral.